UCAGACAUGGUGUUGUGGUGACAUGGCCUCUUGAAUUGGAACUGGAGCAAGAAUACACUGUUGGGGCAUUCCGGGGUUCGAUUCCCUGUGUCUGAA
Non-coding RNA from Mycena galericulata, 96 nucleotides. Lineage: Eukaryota; Fungi; Basidiomycota; Agaricomycetes; Agaricales; Mycenaceae. The record is from the annotation of a GenBank genome assembly.